This 214-nucleotide unclassified non-coding RNA is filed under the name fungal sp. RNAcentral's name for it is "partial internal transcribed spacer region". Lineage: Eukaryota; Fungi. The record is from RNAcentral.
GUUAGAGGUGCCGUCGCGCAUCACCUGGCGCUUGAGCGCCACCUCGGCGUAUUCGGCGUACGGACCGGAGAUCUUGCCGUCACUGUUGUCGAACACGAGUUCCACGGAUGCGGCGCCCACGGGCUUGCGGGUGACCGAACCAUUGAAGAUGACGUCGAUCAUGGAGUCGCCGCGCAGGUGCUUGGCGGAAAGCUCGCCCAUGACCCAGCGCACG